AGGCGCGUAGCUCAGUGGAAGAGCGCUUGCUUGACAUGCAAGAGGUCGGCGGUUCGAUCCCGCCCGCGCCUACCA
Molecule: transfer RNA, 75 nt
Filed under: Thermodesulfobacterium geofontis OPF15
Lineage: Bacteria; Pseudomonadati; Thermodesulfobacteriota; Thermodesulfobacteria; Thermodesulfobacteriales; Thermodesulfobacteriaceae
Description: tRNA-Val (GAC) (tRNA-Val-GAC-1-1)
Rfam family: tRNA
About the family: Transfer RNA (tRNA) molecules are approximately 80 nucleotides in length.
Source: RNAcentral